RNAcentral lists this ribosomal RNA (253 nucleotides) under uncultured bacterium. RNAcentral describes it as "partial 16S ribosomal RNA". It matches the Rfam family "Bacterial small subunit ribosomal RNA", at positions 524 to 776 of the family's 1533-position model. The record is from RNAcentral.
UACAGAGGUCUCAAGCGUUGUUCGGAUUCAUUGGGCGUAAAGGGUGCGUAGGCGGCGCGGUAAGUCGGGUGUGAAAUCUCGGAGCUUAACUCCGAAACUGCAUUCGAUACUGCCGUGCUUGAGGACUGGAGAGGAGACUGGAAUUUACGGUGUAGCGGUGAAAUGCGUAGAUAUCUGGAGGAACACCGGUGGCGAAGGCGGCAUCCUGGACCAAUACUGACGCUGAGGAGCGAAAGCCAGGGGAGCAAACGGG